This 277-nucleotide ribosomal RNA is filed under the name uncultured Pseudomonas sp. Its description in RNAcentral is "partial 16S ribosomal RNA". It matches the Rfam family "Bacterial small subunit ribosomal RNA", at positions 1107 to 1382 of the family's 1533-position model. Lineage: Bacteria; Pseudomonadati; Pseudomonadota; Gammaproteobacteria; Pseudomonadales; Pseudomonadaceae. The record is from RNAcentral.
GUCCUUAGUUACCAGCACGUUAUGGUGGGCACUCUAAGGAGACUGCCGGUGGACAACCGGAGGAAGGUGGGGAUGACGUCAAGUCAUCAUGGCCCUUACGGCCUGGGCUACACACGUGCUACAAUGGUCGGUACAAAGGGUUGCCAAGCCGCGAGGUGGAGCUAAUACCCAUAAAACCGAUCGUAGUCCGGAUCGCAGUCUGCAACUCGACUGCGUGAAGUCGGAAUCGCUAGUAAUCGUGAAUCAGAAUGUCACGGUGAAUACGUUCCCGGGCCUU